This 459-nucleotide ribosomal RNA is filed under the name uncultured bacterium. Its description in RNAcentral is "partial 16S ribosomal RNA". It matches the Rfam family "Bacterial small subunit ribosomal RNA", at positions 338 to 795 of the family's 1533-position model. The record is from RNAcentral.
CCUACGGGUGGCAGCAGUGAGGAAUAUUGGUCAAUGGGCGGAAGCCUGAACCAGCCAAGCCGCGUGAGGGAUGAAGGUACAGAGUAUCGUAAACCUCUUUUGUCAGGGAACAAAGGCGGGGACGUGUCCCCGGAUGAGUGUACCUGAAGAAAAAGCAUCGGCUAACUCCGUGCCAGCAGCCGCGGUAAUACGGAGGAUGCGAGCGUUAUCCGGAUUUAUUGGGUUUAAAGGGUGCGCAGGCGGUCUGUUAAGCCGGCGGGAAAAGCCCGGGGCUCAACCCCGGCCCGCCGUUGAAACUGGCAGUCUCGAGUUGGAGAGAGGUAUGUGGAAUGCGCGGUGUAGCGGUGAAAUGCAUAGAUAUCGCGCAGAACUCCGAUUGCGAAGGCAGCAUGCCGGCUCCACACUGACGCUGAGGCACGAAAGCGUGGGUAUCGAACAGGAUUAGAUACCCUGGUAGUC